AGACACACACACAGACACACGCGGGCCACCCCACGGCCACGCGCCACGCACCCCGCACCCACACCCGCGCUCACACUCACAUUCACACACACACACUCACACUCACACGCGCAGGCCCCGCGGCCGCCGCUUCCCGGAGGCGGUGCUUGGCCCGGAUCCCGGCUGGGGCUGGGAAGGAGAGGACUUGGGUGAGGAGCUGCUGCCACCCGGGCUGGGCCAGGACCUGAGAUCUCAUUGCUCCUGCUGCCGCUGCUGCCUGGGGGACCUUUCUGAGACCCAGGUCGGGGACAGUGCCGGAGGGGCCUCCUCUGCUGCAGACAUCUGAGCAGAGACGACUGGCCGCCCUGAGCGCAAUUCAAUUCAACAGACAUUUACUGAGUGCCUACUAUGCGCCAGGCCUUAGGCUGGGCACUGGGGGAGGGGCGCAGAGAGGAAGAUGG
RNAcentral lists this long non-coding RNA (440 nucleotides) under Macaca nemestrina (pig-tailed macaque). RNAcentral describes it as "lncRNA (ENSMNEG00000045947.1)". The record is from RNAcentral. Lineage: Eukaryota; Metazoa; Chordata; Mammalia; Primates; Cercopithecidae.